GACCAGCCCUGAGACAGUAUGGGAGGGGACUUCACAAGGCUGUGGAUACCAGGAGCCCCAAAAUAUUGAAUAGGGCCAUUGUCUCUGUUGAAGCCCAAAUUAACUCCCCAUGAUGCUACACGAAAGCAGAUCUUUCUCUGUAAAGAUGAUGAUGCAAGAAAUCGCUGGCCACAAGAAAGGAUUUCAUCAUAUGAGAAGAUUUUUUGAGGAAUUUCAACUAAUGCCUCUAUUCCUAAGAAAUGGGUAAAGAUAUUGAAUAAUCUAAUUUAUGUCUUCAAGACUGAAGCUGACACUGCAUCUAUGAAACAAGUAAGAAACAGCUACAAAGAGAUGACAGAAUAUGGUGACCAAUUUUAAAUCCAUAAUACACUAAUGAGCAGAAGAUUAGAUAUCACAGUAAAGUCAGUAAUUUUUUUUAAUGGGCUGGAAAAUUUCUCCCAGAACUCAGGACUGAAAAACAAAAAUAAUGAGAAAAAAAGGAAAAAAGGACCCGGUGAUCCAAUAUACAGAUAAUUCCAAAAGGAAAAAAGAAAACUAAGGCUGACACAAUCAUCAAAGAUCAUUAAAGAGAACUUUCUUAAGCUGAAAAAGACUUGUCCUUAAGAUUGAAAGCAUUAACUUCAGGGUAAUUUAACCAGUUCUCAUUGCAAAGAAAAGGUCUUAUAAGCACUGAAGUGAAAAUAAAAGCAGGUUACAAAGGAAUAUAGUAAAUCUAGCUUCAGUUUUUUCAUCAACUACAAGCCAGAAGUCAGUGGUGGGAGGCCUAUGGGGUCCAAAGCUCAUGACCCAAGUUGUCAUUCAUAUGCAAAGCCAUGUACAUGAAUGAAACACAGAUGUUCUCAGACAUAUAAUAUUUCGUUAUAUGGAUAUACUUUUCACAUGCCCUUCCUGGAAAAAAUGUCCAAAGAGCCUCUUCAACUAGAUAACAGCUAUAUCAAGAUAAAAACCCCCAAAUGGGGAGGAUAUAAUUUUUUCAAAACCAGCGAUAAUGUGUCCAAGCAACUGUUGUCAGUUUAGUUAUACUAGUACAGAUGUCAAAAUUAAUUACUGAAAUAUAAGUUUUAUAUAUAAAAUAAUGAGGAUAUGAAAUCAGAUGACAAAUAAAAACUGGUAACUGGGAAGAAAAAGAAGGAGGAAGUAAGCAUGCUAAUUUUUUAUCAAAUGACACAUCAAAUUUCAUUUUUAACAUUGAUAAUUGAGAAAAUAAACUAAAUUUUUUUAAAAUGUAAACAAAUUAAAAAGAGUAUUUAUAUUCUAAAUCACCACAAAAGGGGAAAGAAGUCAAAGAAACAUGAUCUUUUAUACAAAAGACAAAAAAGGCAACCUACUAAAAAUAAUAAGCAUUUGUAAAAUGUUUUCUAAACACAGGUUAUUUCUUCUCAGUGAUAAGACAGCAAGUCAUUUGCUUAGGAUAUUUGUAUUUCCAAAAAUUAUACAAUGAAGAUGCAUAACUUUUAAAUAACAAAUUAUAAAAUCCCUUGUGGGGGCUGUUAUAAAAAGUUGUUUGAUGUGUAACACAUUGCCAGUAAAACUAAAGAAUGGAUGGAUGAGAAGUUCCCAGUUAUAACAAGAUAUGAUCAAGAUAUUCUGGGCCAGGAUGGUCAUGCUUUUUUUUUUUCCAGUGGUAUCGAUUUAAGAUUUUGCAGCUGGUGAGAUACAUGAUCAUGGCCAUUUGGAGAACUGUAGGGCAUCCAUCUUCUAUGUCAAGAAGAUUGAUGUUAUAGUAGUUACCAUGCUGUCCUGCCUUGGCGAUUUCUGCCCAGAGGGUUUUGAGAAUGCAGUAUAUUUGCAUCAGCUGUAUAGCAUUUCCAUCAAAACAGUUGUGCCCUGCCUGCUGUCAAUUGUGGCGGCACCAUUUUAUAUUUUGUUUUAUAGAGUUGCAGAAGCAGCCUUUGCCCCAUCCACACUUUGUUCAAUUACAAAGCUGAUCUCACUCCUCACCCCAAAAGACUGUUACUACUCCUGGAGAGGUUUGUGAAGGUCGACCUGAUCCCUCCAGGAUGGAGAACGGACAGAACAGACCUUAAGCUGGGGACCAGGGUUUCAAAGUGGAGCCUCCCAAUCAGGGCCAGAUUGACUUCAGAUUGUAAGCACAGGGCAUGUUGAUGUUUGGAUGAGGCUCCCAGAAGAGACAGAGAAAGAGAGAAAAGGAUAUGAUUUAUUGUGAGGAUUCAUCCCACAUCAGAAAUUCUCUAACCAACCCCUAAUGCCAGACUUCAGGCUUGGCAUUAGAGUAACACUCCCUGCUGUAACAGAUAAACCCUGAAUAUUGUUUAUUUCCUGCUCAUGUCAAAGGCUCUGCAGGUUUUCCUGGCCCUGCAGACUUCUUUCCAUGUGCUUAUUCAAGGACCCAGGCUUCUUCCAUCCUGUGGCUCCUCCCUCCUCCAUGUCCUGCAGGAGCCUCUCUAAUCAGACAGCAGCUGGGAAAAGACAAAGGGAGGUCACACCGGGAGGUUCUUAUGGACCAAGCCUGCAAGUGGAGCAUGUUACCUCUGCUGAGAUCCACUGGCCAUAUAUCCUGGUCACAUGGUCACACCUAACUGCAAGGGAGGCUGGGAAAUGUAGUCUCUAUUCUCAGGAGAAAAAGGACUUUGGAUUUAGGGGAACUCCUGGGAGUCUCUGGCCCACACUUUAUCUUUUGCAUAUUCCCUGCCUCCUUCAGAGAGCAGUUUCCCAGCUGAACUCUUUCAAUUAAAAGAAAAAAAGUGACAUAAGUAUAGUGGUUGGAAAUGGAUCAAAUAGGCUGUACUCUUUUGGGAUUUUGUUGUUUAUGGUAGGAGUGUGUGAGGUUUCUGUCCAUAGAGACCAAGCCCGAGGUCAUCUCUUACCAAACAUCUUUCUUCUAAGCAUCUUCUGUCUUCUCUAAAUGAUUAUUUUGUCUCCUUCCUCCUUCUUCCUUUUUAUUGAUAAAACAUGAGGCAGUAACAUGAUUUUUCUUGUGCAGAUUAAAUCUAGAUUCCUCAAGGCCAGUCUUCUAUAACACUACAAUUCUGUCUGUGAAUAAAACACUAACAAUAAAAAUUGGUUAAGCUUUAACUGUGUUUAUAGUGUUAUGGGGUUUUAAUUUUAAAUGGUUGUGUUCAAACUCUAAAAUGCUCACUUCAUGAAAUUCGAAAAUUUAUAAAAAAAAAUAAUUGCGUAUAAUUCGACCACUCUCUUACAUCUCAGCUUCUUUCCUCUUGAAUAUAAUCUUGAUUGAAGGGCUUUUAUCUAAGGACAAGCAAAAUCAUCUGUACAAAACUCAGAGGGAAUAGGAAAGAGAGUCACAUCUUUGUCAUGGGACAUAGUCCCAACUACAAAUUCACUUCUAUGUUUUUAAGACUGUUGAGCUUUGCCUUAAAUUUACCUCUGUAUUCUUCAGUUUCCUCACUUAAAAUGAGGAGUAUCCUUCUUCCACCCACACGGCAUCUGCAAACUGCCGAUGAAAAAAGGCACCUGUCAAAAGUUCUGAGGACAUAAAAUGUUCUAGAAAAACAAUCAUCCCAAUAGCGCUUAUAUGUGCUCAGUGUAGAGGGUUUAAGGGGAUUAUGGUUCAAAGACUCAACAAGAGGAAGCAUUUUUUCCUAAGGGUGGAUUGAGAGUUUCCUGCCAACCACUUUACCUAACAAUUUUGAUAUUUAUAAGGAGAAUAGAGGCACACAGAGACUGCAAAGGCAGGUAGCCCUGGGCUCUAACGGGGCUGUUCCUCCAACAAAGCCAGAACAGAAUUCCCCAUCCAGCAGGACUGGGCUCCAGUUCCCAGAGCCAUUCACAUUCUCGUUCAAAGCCAGCUGAUGAAAGCCAAACAUAAACCUCCUUGUUUACCUUGUGAAUGGAACUUGGAAGUAAAGUAUUUUCCAAAUGCUGGUUGACACCAAGAGGAUGUAAUUACAAUAAGGGGCUUUCUGGUUUGAAGAGAUGAAAGAAGGAAAUGAUUUGUCUCUUUGAAAUCAAAUUAUCACAUAUUAAAAGAAAAGGGGGAGGCUUAGCUUCCAGUCCUCAAAGCAAAAUCGUGACCUGUAAUUUUCUUAAUUUUUUUUUUUUUUUUUUUUUUUUUUUGCUUAAAAUUACUAAGACCAAGGUAGUAGGGAUAGAAGAAGCAACCUGGGAGCUGGAGAAAUGGGGUCAUGAGGAGGAAGAGGAGCUUAGUGGCAGAGAGUGUGAUCUUCGUCCAGUAUAUUUCCUGUCUAUUUCCAUUGCAUUUUAAUCCAUAAUGAAUGUAGAAUGGUGAUUGGCAGGCUGCUUGUGGAGUCUCAUACCUGCCUCUCUCCUCCUUGUGCCUUUUGGGGGAGGUAGUGGUCUUCCCAGGGGGAGUCGGGGUACAGGUAACAGGCCAAGUUGAAAUAUGUAUGUCGUGCAUCUUUGGAUGGAUACAGUCUCUGGUUUUAGCCUGCACUUAACAUGAUUCCACUGAGGUUUUAUUUUAAUUUCCCAAAGCCUCUUUGCUAAUUAAAGCCAUUUGCCUUGGGACUCUUAGCCCUUUUAAUUCUAAAAUGCCCCUAAAUUUUCCUGGUAAUUCCUGAUUUGUUAUUUUCCAAAUGAGAGUCAUCUUGAGUGUGUGGAAGAUGCCCAUAAGGACUUCUUAACUCUCAACUCUCUCUCACACACAUCCACACACGCACCAUGCCCUCUGAAGUGACAGUGUGCUGUAUUAGAAAGGGCGAGAGCUUUAGAGGAAACCAACCAUGAGUUCUGGUUUCCGCUCUGCCAUUUGCUGACUUCGCAUCAUUGAACAACUUUAACCCCCCUCAGCUCCACUUUCUUCAUCUGUAAGAUGAGAUAGUGAGGAUUUCCUUGCAAGAUUUUUGUGGGGAUUAAAUAGAAUUCGCUCUAUAAAAUGCUGGGCAUAGCACUUGCAGUAGGUGGACAAUCCAAUAGUAGCUGCUCCUAAUAAUAAUGUCAUCAUCAUCAUAGUCCAACCUCAGAAAAUUCUACAUUGGGUUAAAAACUCUAAGACCAGGUACUUUAGAUAAAAUUGAAAGCUGGCAAAAUACUUCUGUGUUCAUGUUAUCUGAUUUUCUUCUCCCUGUUGGAAAAUGAAAAGGUACCAAAAUGAUGCAAACUCUGCUUUUGCCUUCAAAGUAAGCAUGAUGAACCCCACUGGGGCUUCUCUGACUCUAUCUUUUUUCCCAGUACACACACACACACACACACACACACACACACACACGGCUGCUGUGUUAUCAAUAACCAGUAUCUUUGUAGGAAAGUAGAAACUAAAUUGUGUGUUUCUUUACCAAUAUCUUUGUUUGAAUUUGGUUCCAUCACAUCUGAUGCCCCUUGGGUUUUUCCCAAAGGGAGAAAUGGUCAGAGGGAAUUAAAAUGGCUCAGAUGUUCCCUUAGGUUUCCCCUAC
Molecule: long non-coding RNA, 5333 nt
Filed under: Homo sapiens (human)
Lineage: Eukaryota; Metazoa; Chordata; Mammalia; Primates; Hominidae
Description: HSALNT0303490
Source: RNAcentral